RNAcentral lists this ribosomal RNA (541 nucleotides) under Escherichia coli. RNAcentral describes it as "partial 23S ribosomal RNA". It matches the Rfam family "Bacterial large subunit ribosomal RNA", at positions 319 to 865 of the family's 2925-position model. The record is from RNAcentral. Lineage: Bacteria; Pseudomonadati; Pseudomonadota; Gammaproteobacteria; Enterobacterales; Enterobacteriaceae.
AGUGUGUGUGUUAGUGGAAGCGUCUGGAAAGGCGCGCGAUACAGGGUGACAGCCCCGUACACAAAAAUGCACAUGCUGUGAGCUCGAUGAGUAGGGCGGGACACGUGGUAUCCUGUCUGAAUAUGGGGGGACCAUCCUCCAAGGCUAAAUACUCCUGACUGACCGAUAGUGAACCAGUACCGUGAGGGAAAGGCGAAAAGAACCCCGGCGAGGGGAGUGAAAAAGAACCUGAAACCGUGUACGUACAAGCAGUGGGAGCACGCUUAGGCGUGUGACUGCGUACCUUUUGUAUAAUGGGUCAGCGACUUAUAUUCUGUAGCAAGGUUAACCGAAUAGGGGAGCCGAAGGGAAACCGAGUCUUAACUGGGCGUUAAGUUGCAGGGUAUAGACCCGAAACCCGGUGAUCUAGCCAUGGGCAGGUUGAAGGUUGGGUAACACUAACUGGAGGACCGAACCGACUAAUGUUGAAAAAUUAGCGGAUGACUUGUGGCUGGGGGUGAAAGGCCAAUCAAACCGGGAGAUAGCUGGUUCUCCCCGAAAG